RNAcentral lists this ribosomal RNA (253 nucleotides) under uncultured bacterium. Its description in RNAcentral is "partial 16S ribosomal RNA". It matches the Rfam family "Bacterial small subunit ribosomal RNA", at positions 524 to 776 of the family's 1533-position model. The record is from RNAcentral.
UACGUAGGGGGCUAGCGUUGUCCGGAAUCAUUGGGCGUAAAGAGCGCGUAGGCGGCCAGAUAAGUCCGGUGUGAAAGUCAAAGGCUCAACCUUUGAAUGCCGCUGGAAACUGUCUGGCUAGAGUCCGGAAGGGGCGAGUGGAAUUCCUGGUGUAGCGGUGAAAUGCGCAGAUAUCAGGAGGAACACCAAUGGCGAAGGCAGCUCGCUGGGACGGUAUUGACGCUGAGACGCGAAAGCGUGGGGAGCAAACAGG